AAAAAAAAAAAAAAAAAAUCAGAGUGGGUUUGGUAGCUGGAAAUGGAUCAUAUAAUUUUGAAAGAGAGAGAUCUUGAGGUUGAUCUUGAAAAUGGGGUGAAUGCUAGUGUUGACGAUCAAAGUAAAGACUCCAUAUCUGGUGUAAAAAUUCAAGUGAAGGAGUUGCUUGCUAAGAUUCGUGGCAUCUUUGUUGAUGGUACAAUGAAGGGUGAAGAGGGGUUAAAUUACUGUUCUGAUGCACCAGAGCAAGUGAACUUGGAUGGAGAGAAAACUGUUGGUAACGUAGAGAAGAAAGUGGUAAAGGAGAAGCAUAAAAUGAUGAGCAAUAAAAAGGCUUCCAAACCUCCUAGGCCUCCAAGAGGUCCAUCAUUGGAUGCUGCUGACCAGCAGCUGAUCAAGGAGAUUACAGAACUUGCAAUGUUGAAACGUGCAAGGGUUGAGCGAAUCAGAGCCUUGAAGAAAAUGAAAGCAGCAAAGGCAUCAUCAUCAUCUAAUAGCUAUGUGUUUGCAAUGGUGUUCACAAUCCUCUUCUGUUUAGUGAUAAUCUUUCAAGGUAAUGCUUAUGUGCAGGUCUUCUUUUUAUUCUAGUACACUAUAUUACUAUCUUCCUUCCCUCCCCCCACAUUUCUAUCUUGUUUUAAUUGUUUGGACCUUCUUAGUUUCCUUGCGAUUUUCCAGAAUAAGAUGUUCAAAUUCCAACUCUGAGUCUCUCUGUCUCUCUCUCUGUAAGUUUGUUUUUUGGUGCAUUCCUUUUAAUAAUUCUUGAUGAUCAUUUGAUUUGGCCUCCAAUCAAAAUUUCAAAUAACUUUUGCAAAGCAAGUUCCUUUGAAUCUUUGUUUCCUAGCUCUAAUCCUCAACUGGAUCUUUGUUCUUUAAAGGAUAUAUAUAUAUAUAUUAUAACUUUUCUUCAUAUAUUCUUGGAAUUUGCUUUUGCAGGAAUGUCAUCAAGGGUUACUUCUGUAAACAUGCAGAGAUCUCCUUUAUCAGCAGAAACGGCAGAGAGUGGUUUGAUUGCGGUGCAGUACUUUGGGAAUCCAUCUGCAAGUGACCCAAAUGGACCUCCUUCUGAAUCUCCCAAUUCUAUAAAGCCAAUAGCUGGUUUUGAUCCGCUUGAAAAUCCAAGAAGAGCCGUGGGAUAAAGCGGAGAAAAUCAUGAUGUUAUAGCCAAGCUUACAUUUGAGAGAUAUUACUAGUCCCUGUGGCUCAUGCAAGCAUUAUAUGACUUGCACUUUUUGUACCAAUAGUCCUCUGAAAUUGAAGUUUGGUGGGUAAUUUAUUUCCUCUAUGUACACUUUUUUAACUGGGGAGUGAGUUAAAUUACCAAACUGAGUUUCUUAAUGGAUUGUAAGGAAAAUUAGUGCCAUGUUUAAUAGGCCAUGCUACUUUUGUGCUGAUAAGUUACCUCCUCUGCAACUAAGCCAGCCAAAUUAUACAAUGCAUGGUCAUGUAAGUUGCUCCGAAAAUGAAAUUCAGAAUCGAGUUAUUUGCCAAGAAAU
This 1496-nucleotide unclassified non-coding RNA is filed under the name Hevea brasiliensis (rubber tree). Lineage: Eukaryota; Viridiplantae; Streptophyta; Magnoliopsida; Malpighiales; Euphorbiaceae. The record is from RNAcentral.